CGCGGCGGCGGGCGCCAUGGACGGGCUGCGGCGCGGCCUGUCGCGCUGGAAGCGCUACCACAUCAAGGUGCACCUGGCGGACGAGGCGCUGCUGCUGCCGCUGACCGUGCGGCCGCGCGACACGCUGAGCGACGUGCGCGCGCAGCUGGUGGGCCAGGGCGUGUGCUCGUGGGGGCGCGCCUUCUACUACAACGCGCGGCGCCUGGACGACCGGCAGACGGUGCGCGACGCGCGCCUGCAGGACGGCUCGGUGCUGCUGCUCGUCAGCGAGCCCAGGUAGUCUGGGUUGGAGGAGGUGGAGCCAUGUCCGAGGGGACCCGAGGGACUGACUGAAGGCACAGGCUCGGGCAGGGGGCACCUUCAGGAGGUCCCUGCCCAGCCUCCUGAGAGCCCAGACCUCACUCCAGGCUCCGGGCUCCCAGGUGGACGCUGGCCAGGCCAGAUGGUGCCCCCUGCCUCGGACAUUCCUGCUGGAGCCCCAGCCCCUGACACCGACCCAGGACGUUGCCGUCCCUGCCCAGCCUGCCAGGGAGGAGCCGUGAGCCUUCCAGCUCUGCGUGCGACCCGGAGGCUAUGGCCCGGAGCGGCUUCCACCCCCAUCUGUGUGGCUCCGACCCGCCUGGGAUCCAGCCUCCUCCAGAAAGUCCUCUCAGAUUCCCUCCUUCCCAGCCAGGGUCCUCCUCGUGCCCCCCGGGGUCCCCCCAAGCCCCCUCUGCUGCAGGCAGCCCUGGCUGGGGCUGCAGCCCGGCGCUGCUGGACUCUCAGAGGACCAAGGGCAGGGACUCGGUGACCCCAGCCCCUUUCCCGGGGCCCCGCCCACACCCCAGGCCACACGUCUGUGCCCGGCUCAGCGGUUUCCCCGUCACUCCCUCUGCCACGCCGCUGCACGGCCCCCAGUGGGUCUGAGGGCUCUGGCCCAGUGGACGUGAUCUGGGGAUGGGGCUCUGGGCUGGCAGAAAUGGCCUGGAAGGUGAUCGUGGGGCAUUCCAGGUAGAGACCCUCGGGUGGAACACUGGGCCUCGCUGGACCUCUGACCUGCGGCCACAUGGCGCCGGGUCCUUCUCAGACCGGGGGCAGCUGGCGCCCUCGGUGCCUGUUCACGCUCCGGGUACCGGCUGCACGAGGGCACAGGCGCGGAAGACUGGGAGGAAAUAAUGUUUUAAUUGAGAGUCCUGCUGCCCGAAGGCCCCCAGGCACCAGGCCUGCCCGACUCCCCUGGCCAACCCUCGGAGUGUCCCCCGUGGUUGUCCCUCCUCCAACUCCAGCUGGGCUGGCCAAGAGGAGGGGGAGUCAGAGAGAGGGACCCCCACUUCCCUGCUGCAGACAGACUCGGAGCUGCUGUGCCGUCCGGUGACCUGGGUGUCGCCUCCCCCACCCCGCCCCGUGUGCCCAGGGAGGGGGCGUCCCUGUCCCUUCCACCCCUCCCCUCAGUGCCCAGCCCAGGGCCAUGUCCCCAGAGACCCCAUUGUCUGCUCUCUGGGCCUCCUUCUAGAGCAGGACCUUCUACUCGGUCUUCUGUGUGGGUAAACUGAGUCCCAGGGUGGUGGGUGGUGGGGCAAGGCCUGCACACGCGUGGUUUGGGUCUCUGCCCGCAGCCGGGCCACCUGUGUGUACCUCGAGCCCUGGGACAUUUUGCCUGUACGUUCCCCUGCACAUUCUCAACGACCUGCCCCUUAGGGUCCUGCAGGAAAGUGGGGGUGUUUGCCAAUCACCCCGAGUCCAUUCCUGGCCCCUACUCCACCGCGGGGCCUGUGCACGUUCUUGCGGGGCCCUGUCUCACUCGGCUGCGCUGCUCAGCGGCGGCGCCGGCCUCUGGUUGCAGCCCAUUUCACAGACGGGUUCCAGCUUGCCCGAGGUCACCGCGCCCCGCCACACCCCACUCCGGACUACUGCCCCCCAGCAGGCAGCCUCUGCACCCAGGGGUCCCCAGCCCGGCGGGAGCUGGUGGAGGAGGGGGAGGCCGGCUGCUUAGCUGGAGGUGGAGGUGGGAGAAAGCGUUUUCAGGGCGUUUUGACAUUUAACAAACAGUAUGCAAAUGGCAUGCAAAUGACAUGCAAAUCACCACCCAUUUCUUAAGCCUCGACAGCUCUGGCGUGUUCUGAAAUGGUAAUGUUGGGCCUGUCCCUGCCCCGCCUGGGCGGGCAGGUGCGCGGUCUUUCCCUCCUACCUCUUCCCCUCCCGCUUUCCC
Microcebus murinus (gray mouse lemur) is the source of this 2188-nucleotide non-coding RNA. The record is from RefSeq and is a predicted model, not a curated record. NCBI's taxonomy places the organism in Eukaryota, Metazoa, Chordata, Mammalia, Primates, Cheirogaleidae.